Molecule: long non-coding RNA, 3572 nt
Filed under: Strigops habroptila (Kakapo)
Lineage: Eukaryota; Metazoa; Chordata; Aves; Psittaciformes; Psittacidae
Description: lncRNA (ENSSHBG00005016860.1)
Source: RNAcentral
UAUAUGGUUUCUGUCCAUUAUUCGGCAUUGCUGUAAAUGGCUCACAUUUACUGCAACUUCUGUACAGAUGUGUGGCUUUGUAUUACCAGAACAGCAAAUUUAAAUGAAAAAAUAAAUGUUCAACAAUUCCACACAAGCUUUUACAGUCCAACAGUUCACUGAGUAGGUGAAAACUACAGACUUGUUACUACAGAAUUAUUCAGCAUGAAUAAAAAACUACAACUUUUAUUUUUAAACAGGAGUCACUGGUUUAAUUUCCUUUAUGCUGUUUUAAAAUUACUGUGAUAAAAAUAAUGAUUCUUUUUUUAAUAAUGCCAUACACCGGUACGAUAUAGGAUUUGUCCCCAGUAUAUAUCUCUUGUUUAAUAUACAAAAUAGAAUAAUGACACAUCGCUGACUCUAUGCUGUUAUGCACGUUAGUUGGGAGGUGGGGUAUUUCCAUACACACAGCCUUUCAUCAGCACCCCGGAGCCUCCCGCUGCCUCGGAGGCCCCAAUCCUUUCCUGAAAAUUUGGUUCCUAUGUGGCAUCAAUGGCUCAGCAACACCCGGUUGCAGACUGGACUAAGGAUAGAGCGUAACUACUCUAAGUACAACCUCUGAACCCCUCACGCUAAGGUUAUGACCCUCCAGUCCUCACUCGCUGAAGUUUGACUACGGGAAACAGGAUUUAGCUGAUGUUCAUCCAGGCACUUUCCUCCUCCUGUUUUCUACCCCUGUCUGUGAAAUGGCGAGGUCAUUUCCCAGCUCCAUCCCCAGCCCCCGGCCCUGCUCCCGCUGCUCCUGCUAAGGCCAUUCCUGGAGCUCCCGCUUCUCCCGCUAAGGCCAUUCCUGGCGCUGCUCGUGCACGAGCUCCGCGCCCGGGCUGCCGGCGGCCGCCCCUCGGUCGAUGCACUUUGUGAUAAGGCACUGAAGAGACGAAGUCAGAAUUCUCCCUGCUUUAUCCAGAGUGCAGAUACUACCCACUGCUACAAGGACUACGGAUACACAGGACACGGACUUCUCACUGCUUACUAAAGCAUUACACACUUCUAACGGUGAAGUUUAAAACCUAACAGCACGUACAGGACGAUUGCUUUCUCCUAACAUCACAGUUUCCUUUUUAUUUUUUUCCUUAAAUCCCUAAACUAAAAAAGGAAUAUACAGGGAUACAGACUAAGAGGGGGUAGAGCCUCUCGUCUCCUACGUUACCGGUUCUCUCAAGGUGGGGAUCAUUUGUUCAUGUUCACUCCAGUUACUUUUCUGCUGGCAAAAAAAGAAGUUUUCUAUUUGUGUAUACGGAUGCACAGACAUUUGCACACCCACAUGCACACCCGUUGCACACCCGCUCACACCACCAGACUCUUCCACACAAGCUCAAAUCAAGGUUCCUGGGGAUGCAAUUUUAAAACCAAAGUAACCCCAGUUCUCCUUUAGCUGAAGAGCCCCCCGAAGCAGCACGGAACUCCUAUCUGUAUCUCAAACGGGUUGUGUGAAUAGUUGCCUGAAAUUGGGGUGAAAGUUGUAAUUGAAAUACUUGAACUUGCCCUUCCCUGUUACAAAAUGUACAUAUCCUUUACAGAUCAAAGAGAAGAGAGUUAUUACUUUUUUAUUAAAGAUGGUAUUUUACUCCAAAGUACUGAAUAUAGGAUCUUUUCUUAAUAGGUAUAACUUUCAAAAAGAGCUUUAAGAAAGGAUGAAAAUUUAGUUUCCCAUUUUGCUUGGAAACCACCUUCUGCUGAACAACAGAAACGUGCUAGUGUAUGGUGAACAACCUAUGCUCCGUAUUUACAUAUUGCUGGUACCUGUAUGCGUAUUAUUGCCCAAUUUGUCAAGCUGUUUCUGCUGUGGUAGGUGAGGCUGUAUGUGAAACUACCCCCGUCUGCUCAGAGGUGUAGGUGCGGGUGCUCACACGCAUCUUCCCCGUUACAUUGCCUGCAGCGGAGGUCGGAUUUAGCAAUGCCUGGCGAAUGGUAACCAACCAUACAGAUAGGAGUAUUCCAUCCAAGCUCCAACUGGGAUUUGUACACAGUGAUUUGAUAAAACAUAAAAAACUCAACCCUAAGCACACCCACUGAACACAGGUUUUACUUUCUAGACAGAGUACUUCUUUGGAUACUAAACCCCGACGCCUUCAGCACUACCUCCAGACAAACCCCAGCGGGGACGGGUUACCAUUCAGCAUAUUUGUGACCCCUACAAAAAAUAUAAUUACAUGUAUCAUGAUAAAGCAAUCUGUCAUCUAAAAAUCAUCCUUAUUAUACACUAUACAAGCUAUUUUACAAUCAUUUAAUAAAUUGCUUUUAAAGCUGCAGUAGCCCUUCCCUUCUUUUCUCGGAUCAGCGAAUAUACCGAUUAUACAUAUUUGAAACUAUAACUAAAUAUAAAAAUAUAUUAGGUUUUGUAUUUUAUCAGAUGAUCUUUCUCGUUUCUAUUACACAAAUAAUCUGGCCACUUUGUGUAAAAAUCAGAUUUUAGAGUGGCUUAGGAAAGAUUUCAAUUUUGAGAUACAGAAAAUUGUUAAGGUGCACGUAGAAAAGGCUACUACAGCUUCUAAACGGUUUAAAAUAUCGGUAUCAAUGGCAACAAGGAGAAAUUCACAAGACCCAGGGGAGUUUUAUGGCACGCUAGUCAUUGGGGUGAAGGGAUGCAACCUUACAAACACAGACGGUUUGACGUACGACUCUAAGACCACGAGAUCAGUAGCGGAGCUUUCCUGCUCUCCAGGGAAGAGAUGGGCCCAGCAGCGGCCGUGGAGAUGUGGGAAUGGGGCUCGAAGCUCUGCUGCUCCGGCUGCUCUUCCCUCCUCCUGCCCCACGGAGAGAGCUCUAGAACCGACAAGAGAACAGAACAAAACCAAACCACUGGGCAUAAUUACACGUCUGCCUCUACGUCAGUUGCGUUUCUCCGGAUAUACUUGUGUGAUGACAGAUCUCAGUGUAUAGAAAAUGUGAGUUUCUCCACACAGAAGUAAACUUUUCUUUAAGCUAUGCAUAUUUUCCUGAAAAUUUCCUGAUGGGCAGUCAGGACUGAGCUUCUUGGCAUCAAUGCAGCCCAUGACUCUCAGUUAUGGCUGUUGCAUCAUAUGCAAAAAUCAGGCUUUUUUUUUUUUUUUCAAUAUAUAAAAUAACCUGCUCAUUUACAUCCAGUUUAGGACUGGGUUAAUUUUCUAUGAAUCUGCAUAUCCAACACUUUUGCACCUAUGCCAAAAGUAGUUGUUUUUUUCACAUCUACUGAAUUAGAUUUGAGAGUUCUCCCACCCACCCUGGCCCUUAAAAAAUGCCAAAUCUUGAUGGUCACUUGGACAGUUGAAAGCUCUUAGGUUAGAAAAGGCCAACCCAUUUUCAUCAUGUGAAUAUACUCGAGGAUUAAUGUCUAGAGGUCAUUUAGGAAAGCUACGAGCUGCCCCACCUUAUAAAACCAGCUGUACAAUAGGCAUCUUGAAGUAUUACAAAAAAAUCAGGUAAGAAAAAAUGAACAAGCCAAGUUCACGGUAUAGAAAGUUAAAGGAAAUGGCUAAAACCAGACAGUAAUAGCUAUAAAAGGCACAACUUCCCUUUUCUGAUAUACACUUGUAAACGUUCCUCAGGUUACA